GCGCGCUUCCUGUAAACAUCAGUAACUUUCACCUCAUUGUCUUCCAGUUUUUACCGACUCAACUUAAUUUUUCGCACAGGGAUACAUUUUUAAUUUUACAAGUGGCAUUCUCAUCAACAUCCUGGAGUUACCAUUGACCAGAAACUUAACUGGACCAACCAUAUAAAUACAGUGGGUACAAGAGCAGGUCAGAUGUUGAGAAUUCUGCAAUGGCAAACAGUAUGAACUUGGAAUAUGACUGAAUGUCAGAAAAUCAUUCACAGUUCAGUGGAGGCGCCAAGGCUUUAGCAUGGCUUUAGUUUCAGAAAGCACCAUGUAACUAAAAUAUAAAACAAAGAGGAAUACAACUGCA
This is a long non-coding RNA of Carcharodon carcharias (great white shark), 352 nucleotides long. RefSeq lists it as uncharacterized. The transcript is spliced from 3 exons. NCBI's taxonomy places the organism in Eukaryota, Metazoa, Chordata, Chondrichthyes, Lamniformes, Lamnidae. The record is from RefSeq and is a predicted model, not a curated record.